GCUUUCAUGGUGUAACGGUAACACACUCGGUGCGUAUUCGAGAGGUCCAGGUUCGAGUCCCAGCGAGAGCA
This 71-nucleotide transfer RNA is filed under the name Stegodyphus mimosarum. It matches the Rfam family "tRNA". From Rfam's summary of the family: Transfer RNA (tRNA) molecules are approximately 80 nucleotides in length. Their secondary structure includes four short double-helical elements and three loops (D, anti-codon, and T loops). Further hydrogen bonds mediate the characteristic L-shaped molecular structure. tRNAs have two regions of fundamental functional importance: the anti-codon, which is responsible for specific mRNA codon recognition, and the 3' end, to which the tRNAs corresponding amino acid is attached (by aminoacyl-tRNA synthetases). tRNAs cope with the degeneracy of the genetic code in two manners: having more than one tRNA (with a specific anti-codon) for a particular amino acid; and 'wobble' base-pairing, i.e. permitting non-standard base-pairing at the 3rd anti-codon position. The record is from Rfam by way of RNAcentral. Lineage: Eukaryota; Metazoa; Arthropoda; Arachnida; Araneae; Eresidae.